AUUGAACGCUGGCGGCAUGCUUUACACAUGCAAGUCGAACGGUAGACCCUUUCGGGGGUUGAGAGUGGCGAACGGGUGAGUAAUGCAUCGGAACGUGCCUAGUCGUGGGGGAUAACGUAGCGAAAGUUACGCUAAUACCGCAUACGCACUGAGGUGGAAAGCGGGGGACCGUAAGGCCUCGCGCGAUUGGAGCGGCCGAUGUCGGAUUAGCUAGUUGGUGAGGUAAAGGCUCACCAAGGCGACGAUCUGUAGCGGGUCUGAGAGGAUGAUCCGCCACACUGGAACUGAGACACGGUCCAGACUCCUACGGGAGGCAGCAGUGGGGAAUUUUGGACAAUGGGCGCAAGCCUGAUCCAGCCAUGCCGCGUGAGUGAAGAAGGCCUCGGGUUGUAA
Molecule: ribosomal RNA, 393 nt
Filed under: uncultured bacterium
Lineage: Bacteria
Description: bacterial SSU rRNA
Rfam family: Bacterial small subunit ribosomal RNA
Source: RNAcentral